AACGGAUAUCUCGGCUCUCGCCACGAUGAAGAAUGUAGCGAAAUGCGAUACUUAGUGUGAAUUGCAGAAUCCCGUGAAUCAUCAAGUCUUUGAACGCAAGUUGCGCCCGAGGCCUCGGCCAAGGGCACGCCUGCUUGGGCGUCGC
RNAcentral lists this ribosomal RNA (145 nucleotides) under Calocedrus decurrens. RNAcentral's name for it is "5.8S ribosomal RNA". It matches the Rfam family "5.8S ribosomal RNA". From Rfam's summary of the family: 5.8S ribosomal RNA (5.8S rRNA) is a component of the large subunit of the eukaryotic ribosome. It is transcribed by RNA polymerase I as part of the 45S precursor that also contains 18S and 28S rRNA. The record is from RNAcentral. RNAcentral also lists the same sequence under 2 other names. Lineage: Eukaryota; Viridiplantae; Streptophyta; Pinopsida; Cupressales; Cupressaceae.